AUGAGAAGAUGCUCUCGUUAUUUGCCUCCAAACUUAUUCAUUGCUGUUGUGGAGGAAAGGCAGGUUCUGAUAACAGCAUGUGAUAUACAAACCAAUCAUGAAUUUCAGGAACUGGAAUUCAUGAUUUCAACUGCUGCUCUGAGGGAACAUGAAAAUGUUCUCCAUCUUACUGGACUUUGCAUCAAUGACAAUAGAGCCUACGUUGUGUUUGACCUUCCCGCUGGUUCUUUAAUUUAUGAAAAGCUAAAGGGUGAUGCUGGUUCCUUACAAUGCUGCCAAAUAGUGGAUAUUGCUCUUGGAAUAUGCGAGGGGUUUCUUUACAAUAUAUCUUGUGGAUUUGUGUCUGCCUGUCCCAGCUCUGACAAUAUCUGGCUUAAACUGGAUGGUACACCGUUGUUGCUUGAUGUCUCUGGAUUGGGUGAUGAUUCUGCAGAAACUGAUGCCGUCCGUGCAAUUGGACUCAUUGUCUUAGAAAUGUGCAUGAAUGCUUCCGACAGAGAGAGUUGCUCUUUCAAGAAAGUCACAAUGCUUGCGAAUCAGUGCGUCAGCGAACAAUUUGAUGAGAAGCUGUCGCUGGAAUCUCUUCAGGAGGAAUUGAAUCAACUCAAGCGAUCUGUUGGUUGUCUUAGAUUGGAGGUAGAUGAUGCUGCUUCUCUCACAGGAGCUUUACACUGA
RNAcentral lists this ribosomal RNA (675 nucleotides) under Triticum aestivum (bread wheat). RNAcentral describes it as "partial small subunit ribosomal RNA". The record is from RNAcentral. Lineage: Eukaryota; Viridiplantae; Streptophyta; Magnoliopsida; Poales; Poaceae.